RNAcentral lists this ribosomal RNA (349 nucleotides) under Tortricodes alternella. RNAcentral describes it as "partial 12S ribosomal RNA". The record is from RNAcentral. Lineage: Eukaryota; Metazoa; Arthropoda; Insecta; Lepidoptera; Tortricidae.
CAUAUUUUAAUUUUUAAUCAUUUUAAUAAAUUAAAUAAAAUUACAUUUAAAUCCACUUUCAAUUAAAUUUUUCAAUUUAAAAUUCAUUUAAAUAAAUUUAUUGUAAUCCAUUAUAUUCUUAAUUAUAAUCUGCAUCUUGAUCUGAUUUAAUUUUUAUUUUAAAUUUUAAAAUAUUAAAUUUAUUUAAAAAUAUUUUUUUAACAACGAUAUACAAAAUUUUAAAUUAAGUAAAAUUAUUCGUGGAUUAUCAAUUAAUAAACAGAUUCCUCUAAAUGAACUAAAAUACCGCCAAAUUAUUUAAGUUUCAAUAAAUAAUUAUAUACUAUUUUAGUAUUUUAAUUUAAAUUUU